RNAcentral lists this ribosomal RNA (484 nucleotides) under uncultured bacterium. Its description in RNAcentral is "partial 16S ribosomal RNA". It matches the Rfam family "Bacterial small subunit ribosomal RNA", at positions 30 to 507 of the family's 1533-position model. The record is from RNAcentral.
AUUGAACGCUGGCGGCAGGCCUAACACAUGCAAGUCGAGCGGAUGCGCGGCGCUCGCUCUUGGAUUCAGCGGCGGACGGGUGAGUAAUGCAUAGGAAUAUGCCCGGUCGUGGGGGAUAACAUCCCGAAAGGGGCGCUAAUACCGCAUACGUCCUGAGGGGGAAAGUGGGGGAUCUUCAGACCUCGCGCUAUUAGAUGAGCCUAGGUCGGAUUAGCUAGUUGGUGGGGUAAAGGCCUACCAAGGCGACGAUCCGUAACUGGUCUGAGAGGAUGAUCAGUCACACUGGAACUGAGACACGGUCCAGACUCCUACGGGAGGCAGCAGUGGGGAAUAUUGGACAAUGGGCGAAAGCCUGAUCCAGCCAUGCCGCGUGAGUGAAGAAGGUCUUCGGAUUGUAAAGCUCUUUAAGUAGGGACGAAGGGCUGUGAUUUAAUACCGUCCUGUAUUGACGUUACCUAAAGAAGAAGCACCGGCUAACUACGUG